AUUGAACGCUGGCGGCAGGCUUAACACAUGCAAGUCGAGCGGAGUGAUGGUGCUUGCACUAUCACUUAGCGGCGGACGGGUGAGUAAUGCUUAGGAAUCUGCCUAUUAGUGGGGGACAACAUCUCGAAAGGGAUGCUAAUACCGCAUACGUCCUACGGGAGAAAGCAGGGGAUCACUUGUGACCUUGCGCUAAUAGAUGAGCCUAAGUCGGAUUAGCUAGUUGGUGGGGUAAAGGCCUACCAAGGCGACGAUCUGUAGCGGGUCUGAGAGGAUGAUCCGCCACACUGGGACUGAGACACGGCACAGACUCCUACGGGAGGCAGCAGUGGGGAAUAUUGGACAAUGGGGGGAACCCUGAUCCAGCCAUGCCGCGUGUGUGAAGAAGGCCUUAUGGUUGUAAAGCACUUUAAGCGAGGAGGAGGCUCUUUUGGUUAAUACCCAAGAUGAGUGGACGUUACUCGCAGAGUAAGCACCGGCUAACUCUGUGCCAGCCGCCGCGGUAA
This 503-nucleotide ribosomal RNA is filed under the name uncultured bacterium. RNAcentral's name for it is "partial 16S ribosomal RNA". It matches the Rfam family "Bacterial small subunit ribosomal RNA", at positions 30 to 523 of the family's 1533-position model. The record is from RNAcentral.